Molecule: ribosomal RNA, 458 nt
Filed under: Vibrio anguillarum
Lineage: Bacteria; Pseudomonadati; Pseudomonadota; Gammaproteobacteria; Vibrionales; Vibrionaceae
Description: bacterial SSU rRNA
Rfam family: Bacterial small subunit ribosomal RNA
Source: RNAcentral
AGUCGAGCGGCAGCACAGAGGAACUUGUUCCUUGGGUGGCGAGCGGCGGACGGGUGAGUAAUGCCUAGGAAAUUGCCCUGAUGUGGGGGAUAACCAUUGGAAACGAUGGCUAAUACCGCAUGAUGCCUACGGGCCAAAGAGGGGGACCUUCGGGCCUCUCGCGUCAGGAUAUGCCUAGGUGGGAUUAGCUAGUUGGUGAGGUAAUGGCUCACCAAGGCGACGAUCCCUAGCUGGUCUGAGAGGAUGAUCAGCCACACUGGAACUGAGACACGGUCCAGACUCCUACGGGAGGCAGCAGUGGGGAAUAUUGCACAAUGGGCGCAAGCCUGAUGCAGCCAUGCCGCGUGUAUGAAGAAGGCCUUCGGGUUGUAAAGUACUUUCAGUCGUGAGGAAGGUGGUGUUGUUAAUAGCAGCAUCAUUUGACGUUAGCGACAGAAGAAGCACCGGCUAACUCCGUG